GCUUGCUAAUACUUUGUAUUUAAAAUACUUUUUACCCAGUUUUGGUUAAUACAUAAAAAAAGAACAUUUUUGUGUUGAAAAUAUCUUUACUUUUAAAAUAUUAAAUAUUUAAAUCAAGUUAUAAUAUAUAGCGUUUAUCAGACAUGACUUGUAUUACGAAUUUUGUAGUUUUAUAAAAAAAAAAUAUAUUAUUAUUAUUCAACAAUAAUUUUCAUGAUUUAAGAGAAAAAAAUUGAAGAGAAAAUAACAACACUUUCAAAAUUAAAAUUUCUUAUAAUACCUCUAUUUUUUACUUUUUUUCUCUUUAUUGAAAAUCUAUAUUACAUUACGCUGUAUUAUAUUCUAAUUUAAAAAAUAAAAUUUUAAUUUAAAAAAAAUUUAUUUUUUAUACCGGCGAUGUAUAUCGGAACUGUCUAAUAUGUAGAGCAAAUUAUUCCAUUCCCAAAACAUUGCUCUUGCUCAAUGCAAUAGCAACGCUGAUUUGUAUUAACAUAAAAAAGUCAUGUAUACAUUUCAAAUACGUGUUUCAUUCUACUUUUAUUAUCAUUUGUACGUUUUUAAUACACCCAGGUAACCAAAUGUUAGCAUGAUGACCGCAUAAUGCACGCAUGCGUGCAAUGGCAUGCUGUCACUGUGACAUCGAGCUAAUUAUCCAUGUGGCAAGCACUGUGUUGACACGUCGUGUUCAAUACGCUGUGUCAACAUUGUGCAAGCACUCUACAUUUCAAAAUGCUGGUAUUGUGCUAGUACGCAAACCUUUCUAAACUAUAUACUUUUUCUUGGGGCAUUUUUAGUUUCUUAUACGAGAUGUAAUAAUUGUCACAUUUUUAUGUAUUAUGUCAUGAUCAAUAUUAUAGUUAAUUAUUCUGCAUGCAAAUGUUAUCAUUUCUAUCUCAACAGCAACACUGGUACAAAACAAAUAAAUAUUCUAUGUAUUUACAUAAAUGUUUAUAUAUAUAUGUAUAUAAUAUUAAUGAUUUAUAAUCGUUAAAAUAAUAAAAUGUAUUUUAUUUCCUCUUCUUUUAAAAUUAUACAUAUUUCCUAACACACAUACUUAGAAUUUAUAGCCAUUAGCAUGCUUUGUUUGUUUUAUUUAAAUGUAUUAUUCAUGAAAUAAAAAACAAAGAUAAAGUGACAAAAAAGCGCGCUACCAUUUUUUAUAAGCGUGUUGUAAAUGUAGAUAUAAAUUAUCAAGAAAAAGAUAAACAAUGCUGUUAUUACGCUAUGACGUAAAACGAUAUCACGUUAAAUGCAGUUUACUUUGAACUGAGAAGAGGAGGGAUACUACACCGGACGUAUUGAUGUAUUCGGUAUUGAAAGAUUACGCGAGAGAUUUAGUGCAACAAUGUUAAACUGUUUUAUUUUGUUGUUUUAAUUUGUUUGUUGUAUUUUAGUAAGUCUCAUGACAGCGUCAAAACCACUUUUAAUUUUACUGAUAGAGUCAUGUCCAUCUCCAAGUCAUCAUGUCUGUACGAUGCAUUUAAAUCAAGGACUGCUUCGAAAAGGUCAUCAUGUACAAUACAUGCAGUGAACAUACACAUGCCUAAGGUCGAGGGUAAAUUUACGCAGAACUUGACAUACGCCGUUUUUGAUGACUUAAUGACAAAUUAUGAAGAGACCGAGGAUUAUAACCCGGCUGAGUGGAAAAGCUACAGCACGUUUUAUGUAACAUAUUUCAUAUAUGAAUGGAGUAUUGAAUCAUGGCAUUGUUAAAAUCUAAAGCAACGAAAAAGCUUUUGGAAAUGAUUAAGACUGUUGACUUAUGACGUUAUACAGUACAUGACAUCGGUCUGGAUCAGUGUUCUUAUAGAUUGUGAGAGGUAUUUUUUUCAGGUUGCUAAAAAUAAACCAUCCAUAGUAGAAUAUGUUCCGUUUGGCCGUGCACCUUGGCUGAAAGAUUAUAUAGGUGGUUCAAAUUAUUCAACUAUUCGACCUUACCCAGCAACCUUUACGAAACUCGUAAGUUUGUGACAGAGAACAUGGAAUGCUGUAUAUUACAUUUCAAAUGAUACCUUACGAUAAUACUUAAUUACAACCCUUCAACGGCUUGCUGAGGAAUUCAUGGGCCACACGACCAGGGCAAUUACGUGAAAUAGAAAAAGACAGAAUUAAUCAUUUACUAUUUAAUACUCAUUCCUUAUUCGAUUCUGGGAUUUCUUUGUUGCCAAAUGCCCUAGAAAUUGCAGGAUUGAAUACUCAAACGUGUAAUCAAUUGCUGGAGAGGUAGUUGUAACGUUUUCCGAGAUAAGAUAAAUUGUUUUUUUGAGAACUAGCAAAUUUAGCAAGUGUAAGAAUAUUAGCAAAAGUAAAACUAUAUUUUAAAGAACUGGAAAUUUAAUGAAAUUUUGAUUAUAUUAUUAAGCAUAAUAUUAUCUAUAUCCGAAAAUUUUCAGGGACUUACCGUUUCGUCUUACAUAUGUGAUAAGGAUUUUUGUAUUUAUAUUUAUGAUAUUGGGAGAACUUUUUACAAGAACGUACUGUUCUAAUUAGGAAGAUAUUAGAUAAAUCAUUAGAGUAAAGCUUGUUUACUUAUUUUUUAGCGUUGUAAAGAAGAGUUUUUAUAUACGUUUAUUUUUUAUAAAAUGUGCUUAUGUAUGAAGUCUAAUAUAUAAAAAAUAUAUUUAAAUGUGA
Solenopsis invicta (red fire ant) is the source of this 2631-nucleotide RNA transcript. RefSeq lists it as uncharacterized. The transcript is spliced from 3 exons. NCBI's taxonomy places the organism in Eukaryota, Metazoa, Arthropoda, Insecta, Hymenoptera, Formicidae. The record is from RefSeq and is a predicted model, not a curated record.